This 321-nucleotide signal recognition particle RNA is filed under the name Pongo abelii (Sumatran orangutan). RNAcentral's name for it is "Metazoan signal recognition particle RNA (ENSPPYG00000033738.1)". It matches the Rfam family "Metazoan signal recognition particle RNA". From Rfam's summary of the family: The signal recognition particle (SRP) is a universally conserved ribonucleoprotein. It is involved in the co-translational targeting of proteins to membranes. The record is from RNAcentral. Lineage: Eukaryota; Metazoa; Chordata; Mammalia; Primates; Hominidae.
GCCGGGCGUGGUGGCGGGUGCCUGUAGUCCCAGCUACUCAGGAGGUUGAGGCAGGAGAGCGGCAGGAACCCGGGAGGCGGAGCUUGCAGUGAGCCGAGAUCGCGUCACUGCACUCCAGCCUGGGCGACAGAGCGAGACUCCGUCUCAAAAAAUAAAUGAAUAAAUAAAUAAAUAAAUAAUUUAAAAAUUAAAUUUAACUUUUUUUUUUUUUUUUUUUUUUGAGAUGGAGUCUUGCUCUUUGGCCCAGGCUGGAGUGCAGUGACGCGAUCUCGGCUCACUGCAAGCUCCGCCUCCCAGGUUCAAAUGAUUCUCCUGCCUCAG